This 577-nucleotide ribosomal RNA is filed under the name Escherichia coli. Its description in RNAcentral is "partial 23S ribosomal RNA". It matches the Rfam family "Bacterial large subunit ribosomal RNA", at positions 711 to 1285 of the family's 2925-position model. The record is from RNAcentral. Lineage: Bacteria; Pseudomonadati; Pseudomonadota; Gammaproteobacteria; Enterobacterales; Enterobacteriaceae.
AGACCCGAAACCCGGUGAUCUAGCCAUGGGCAGGUUGAAGGUUGGGUAACACUAACUGGAGGACCGAACCGACUAAUGUUGAAAAAUUAGCGGAUGACUUGUGGCUGGGGGUGAAAGGCCAAUCAAACCGGGAGAUAGCUGGUUCUCCCCGAAAGCUAUUUAGGUAGCGCCUCGUGAAUUCAUCUCCGGGGGUAGAGCACUGUUUCGGCAAGGGGGUCAUCCCGACUUACCAACCCGAUGCAAACUGCGAAUACCGGAGAAUGUUAUCACGGGAGACACACGGCGGGUGCUAACGUCCGUCGUGAAGAGGGAAACAACCCAGACCGCCAGCUAAGGUCCCAAAGUCAUGGUUAAGUGGGAAACGAUGUGGGAAGGCCCAGACAGCCAGGAUGUUGGCUUAGAAGCAGCCAUCAUUUAAAGAAAGCGUAAUAGCUCACUGGUCGAGUCGGCCUGCGCGGAAGAUGUAACGGGGCUAAACCAUGCACCGAAGCUGCGGCAGCGACACUGUGUGUUGUUGGGUAGGGGAGCGUUCUGUAAGCCUGUGAAGGUGUGCUGUGAGGCAUGCUGGAGGUAUCAG